UACGGAGGAUGCAAGCGUUAUCCGGAUUUAUUGGGUUUAAAGGGUGCGCAGGUUGUUUGAUAAGUCAGUGGUGAAAGUCUGUCGCUUAACGGUAGGAUUGCCAUUGAUACUGUUAGACUUGAAUAUGGAUGAGGUAGGCGGAAUGUGUAGUGUAGCGGUGAAAUGCAUAGAUAUUACACAGAACACCGAUUGCGAAGGCAGCUUACUAAUCCAUCAUUGACGCUGAGGCACGAGAGCGUGGGGAUCAAA
RNAcentral lists this ribosomal RNA (249 nucleotides) under uncultured prokaryote. RNAcentral's name for it is "partial 16S ribosomal RNA". It matches the Rfam family "Bacterial small subunit ribosomal RNA", at positions 524 to 772 of the family's 1533-position model. The record is from RNAcentral.